RNAcentral lists this non-coding RNA (29 nucleotides) under Homo sapiens (human). Lineage: Eukaryota; Metazoa; Chordata; Mammalia; Primates; Hominidae. The record is from RNAcentral.
UGGGGCAGUGUGGUGCUCUAUCCUGGGAC